RNAcentral lists this long non-coding RNA (305 nucleotides) under Olea europaea (common olive). Its description in RNAcentral is "long non-coding RNA (OEUR_LNC011504)". Lineage: Eukaryota; Viridiplantae; Streptophyta; Magnoliopsida; Lamiales; Oleaceae. The record is from RNAcentral.
UACGAUCUCGCCCAACAUGACCUUCACCAUGAAACUCCUCAAUCAAUUUCAGACGAAGGCUGCAAUCUGGUAUACACAACUGAACACCUCUAAACACAUACCCAUCCUCUAACAGAAAAGAGGAAUGGGGUCCCUGCAGUAAACUGUGAUAGAUGGGGCCAAAAUAAGGGUCAUCAGCAUAAAGAGAGACAAAGGUCUCAAACCCGGUGACCACUACCUGUAGCCGCGCUAAUAACCCAUGCCGCCGACUGAGCGCAUCUGCCACACGAUUAGAAGAACCAGCCUGAUGUUUAAUGACAAAGUUG